Molecule: ribosomal RNA, 229 nt
Filed under: Vibrio cholerae
Lineage: Bacteria; Pseudomonadati; Pseudomonadota; Gammaproteobacteria; Vibrionales; Vibrionaceae
Also listed under: 1 other name
Description: partial 16S ribosomal RNA
Rfam family: Bacterial small subunit ribosomal RNA
Source: RNAcentral
UUAAUUGAAGAGUUUGAUCAUGGCUCAGAUUGAACGCUGGCGGCAGGCCUAACACAUGCAAGUCGAGCGGCAGCACAGAGGAACUUGUUCCUUGGGUGGCGAGCGGCGGACGGGUGAGUAAUGCCUGGGAAAUUGCCCGGUAGAGGGGGGAUAACCAUUGGAAACGAUGGCUAAUACCGCAUAACCUCGCAAGAGCAAAGCAGGGGACCUUCGGGCCUUGCGCUACCGG